Molecule: ribosomal RNA, 881 nt
Filed under: uncultured Flavobacteriia bacterium
Lineage: Bacteria; Pseudomonadati; Bacteroidota; Flavobacteriia
Description: bacterial SSU rRNA
Rfam family: Bacterial small subunit ribosomal RNA
Source: RNAcentral
CAAGUCGUGGGGCAGCGCAGUGUAGCAAUACAUGGGCGGCGACCGGCAAACGGGUGCGGAACACGUACGCAACCUUCCCAAAACUGGUGAAUAGCCUUUCGAAAGAGAGAUUAAUACACCGUAACUUAAUGAAGUGGCAUCACUUUAUUAAUAUAGCUCCGGCGGUUUUGGAUGGGCGUGCGCCUGAUUAGGUAGUUGGCGGGGUAACGGCCCACCAAGCCUACGAUCAGUAACUGGUGUGAGAGCACGACCAGUCACACGGGCACUGAGACACGGGCCCGACUCCUACGGGAGGCAGCAGUAAGGAAUAUUGGUCAAUGGACGCAAGUCUGAACCAGCCAUGCCGCGUGGAGGAUGAAGGUCCUCUGGAUUGUAAACUUCUUUUAUCGGAGAAGAAACCCCGACAUUCUUGUUGGGUUGACGGUACCCGAUGAAUAAGCACCGGCUAACUCCGUGCCAGCAGCCGCGGUAAUACGGAGGGUGCAAGCGUUAUCCGGAUUCACUGGGUUUAAAGGGUGCGUAGGUGGGCUAGUAAGUCCGUGGUGAAAUCCCCGAGCUUAACUCGGGAACUGCCGUGGAUACUAUUAGUCUUGAAUAUCGUGGAGGUAAGCGGAAUAUGUCAUGUAGCGGUGAAAUGCUUAGAUAUGACAUAGAACACCGAUAGCGGAGGCAGCUUACUACGCGAUUAUUGACACUGAGGCACGAAAGCGUGGGGAUCAAACAGGAUUAGAUACCCUGGUAGUCCACGCCCUAAACGAUGGAUACUCGACAUACGCGAUACACUGUGUGUGUCUGAGCGAAAGCAUUAAGUAUCCCACCUGGGAAGUACGACCGCAAGGUUGAAACUCAAAGGAAUUGGCGGGGGUCCCACAAGCGGUGGA